AGAACGAACGCUGGCGGCGUGGAUAAGACAUGCAAGUCGGACGCGAUUUAUCCGGUUAGCAAUAACUGGGUAGAUUGAGUGGCGAAAGGGUGCGUAACACGUGGGAAUUUACCAAGAAGUGGGGAAUAGCUCGACGAAAGUCGAAUUAAUACCGCAUGUGAUCGUAAGAUCAAAGCCGGGGACCGCAAGGCCUGGCGCUUUUUGAGAAGCCCGCGGCCCAUCAGCUAGUUGGUGAGGUAAUGGCUCACCAAGGCUAUGACGGGUAGCUGGUCUGAGAGGACGACCAGCCACACUGGAACUGAGACACGGUCCAGACACCUACGGGUGGCAGCAGUCGAGAAUUUUUCACAAUGGGGGAAACCCUGAUGGAGCGACGCCGCGUGGAGGAUGAAGGUUCUUGGAUUGUAAACUCCUGUCACUGCAGAACAAGGAUACGCCAGUUAACAGCCGGCGUA
This 455-nucleotide ribosomal RNA is filed under the name uncultured bacterium. RNAcentral describes it as "SSU rRNA". It matches the Rfam family "Bacterial small subunit ribosomal RNA", at positions 26 to 477 of the family's 1533-position model. The record is from RNAcentral.